AAGGUGGGGAUGACGUCAAGUCAUCAUGGCCCUUACGACCAGGGCUACACACGUGCUACAAUGGCAUAUACAAAGAGAAGCGACCUCGCGAGAGCAAGCGGACCUCAUAAAGUAUGUCGUAGUCCGGAUUGGAGUCUGCAACUCGACUCCAUGAAGUCGGAAUCGCUAGUAAUCGUAGAUCAGAAUGCUACGGUGAAUACGUUCCCGGGCCUUGUACACACCGCCCGUCACACCAUGGGAGUGGGUUGCAAAAGAAGUAGGUAGCUUAACCUUCGGGAGGGCGCUUACCACUUUGUGAUUCAUGACUGGGGUGAAGUCGUAACAAGGUAACCGUAGGGGAACCUGCGGUUGGAUCACCUC
RNAcentral lists this ribosomal RNA (360 nucleotides) under Mycobacterium tuberculosis. Its description in RNAcentral is "bacterial SSU rRNA". It matches the Rfam family "Bacterial small subunit ribosomal RNA", at positions 1170 to 1529 of the family's 1533-position model. The record is from RNAcentral. Lineage: Bacteria; Bacillati; Actinomycetota; Actinomycetes; Mycobacteriales; Mycobacteriaceae.